GUUGACGCCAGGAAGCUGUGGGUUACAAUGGGCAGACAGAGGUGGUAAAGCAGCCCAGCCCCCAGAUCAGAAAAGGCCACAGAGCUUCAGUCCAAGGAGAAAUGGCUUCAGGUGCGGCUGCAUCCAGGUGCUCAUGUGUUGUGGACAGAAACACCUUUCUGCAUCUUUGGCUCUGCAUUCUCCUCCCUGGGCCUUAUUCUCUGGCUAGUUCUUCCUCUGAGUGACAAGGAUCUGGGUUUACACUGUCUCAGAGUGGCAACUCCAGCAGAAAGAGCACACCUCCUUCGGCAGGUGUUGCCAGACCCAGCACAGAAGAGAUGGGGAUCUGAGCUCCAGGCCUGCCUUGUGGCAGCAUCUCCAUCUGCCUUCUCCCAAGUCCUUCAGAUCCUGGCCCAGUGGAGCCUCAAGCUCUGCACCCUCAGGCUGGAUUCAGGAAAUGCCUCCUUGCUGAUUUCCUUCAGGUCAGGCUCAGAUUCAGGGAAAACCACCAGCCACCCCACCCUGCUGGACGCAGCUCAGAGGCACCCUCCUGGAAGUCUCCCAGGAUUGCUCCCAGGAAGAAGGGAGGAGGAGAAGAGGCGGUCCAUGCAUUGGGUUGGGACCCUGCAUGCAUCUGUCCCCUCCUGAACUCCAAUGACAGCAGCUCAUGUCCAUUGCACUCCGACAGUGUGCCAGCCCCUCAGGAGCCCUGGGACCAGGAUUCUCUUCAUCUUCACUGCAGUCUUGCCUGGAGGCCCAUUUUGCAGAGAAGCAAGCUGAGCCUUGAGAGGUCAAGCACUGGCCCCAGGCCACAAGGCCAGAAUGGUAGAGCAGGAUGAAUCCUGGAGCCCGGACUCUCAUGCAGGGAUUACAAAACAGUCUGGAUGCUGUCCCCAGGCUGGGCUCAUCAUGCAAGUUAGGAAGCCGGGGUCAGGUCGGUCACAGGGACCCAGAGCCAGUCCACAGGGGGCCCAGGGAUCAGGGAGGAGGGGCCCAGCCUUGACCCCAUCUCCUCACCACAGCACAGAAGGCAGUGCAGGGCUAGCACCCUGGCACCCGGCUAGAAAACCCGCUGAUUUCUGAGACUGCCCCCCUGGCACGGCCCUGUCUCAGCCGCCCUGGCUCCUACUCUUUGCGGCUUCAGGCCACAGUGCCCCCAGCUGUCUUGGCUGUGUGACCUUGGGGGGUUCCUAUGCUUCUCUGGAGCCCAUUUCCUCCCUUGUGAGGUACCACCGACCUCUGGGGGUUCCUGGGCAUAGGAGGAGGCCUGACAAGGAUGCCGGGAAACCUCCCAGCUUUGCCGAAUCUCUGUGGAGCUGUGAGGCCGAGGCCAAGGGGUGAUGACCCAGCCCUGGAGAGAGGCGUGGGCGUCUCCACCCAAAGCCUCAGGGAGCACCCACAGAGAGCCCAAGACACAGGACAAGGGGGCUGCUGGCACUGUCCUGGGGCCACUUGCAGACAGUGACUCAGAGGGAAGAGAGCACAAGAGCUGGCACCUGUGGGGCUGGACACCAGGCCACAGUGGCAGGGAUGCCCCCAACCCAGCAGGAUCUGGGGCUGUGAGGGACUCACCGUGGGGUCUGGACAUAUGAGACACAGCACCUGGGCACAGCAGGCCCAUGAAGGGCCAGGUGAAGCUCAGCAAGGCCCCAGGGGCCCACACAGGGCUGGCAGGAAAAAGACAAAAUUCAGUUGUGGUUUAUUUCAGGCAAGGCUGGACGUCCUGCCAUUAGACGUGAGCCUCUCCUGGCCUGGAACAAGGGGAAAGGGCUGCCUAGGGUUCAGAACCAAGGUGGGACGCUAGGCCUCUCUCCCUGCCGUGCGGCUCCUAGUGACCCAAGAUUCUCAGCUCAGAGACCCAUGGUCCAUCCCCACCCACAGCAAGCACACCCUGACAACUUGCCCUGUGUAACCCUCACAACACCCGCAGCCAGCACAGAACCCUGAUACAGGCAUUGACCAAGUGAGAAACUGAGGCUCAGCAUGGCCUAGUGCAAUGUCUCCCUUUCCCAUCCUGGGGACAUGUCAUUGUGAGUGAUCAGAUGGUGUGAUGGUACCCCCGAGGCCCCACCCCUCUCCCCCGGAGGUCAAGACCUUGACUUCUAGCCCAGGCUAAACAGUCUGUGCUCCCUGCCCCCUUGGGGCUGCAUCAUUGCAUGUGGCUGGGUUGAGCUCUUGUUCCAGGCUGUGUGAUAUUUCAUAUGUCGCUGCACCACAGCUCCCCCUGAUGGUUAUCUGGACUCUUCCCAGCCUCUGAGGUUCCUACUGGGGCACCCUGUCUGAGCUCACUGGACCCAGGUGACAGGCUGGGGAGGAAGCACUACCCCGCUCCCCAAUUUUGAGAAGGAAGCAGAAGGUACAAGAGAGACAGAUGUUGAGGGAAGCCCUGAAUAAACCAUGUAGCGUCACCUGCCUUUAUUUUUAGCCUGAACCUUUUUUUCUUUUUGGUACCAGGGAGUGAACUCGGGACCUUGCGCUUACAAGGCAGGCAGCGGCCACCACUGAGCUAAACCCCGGCCCACUUGCUUUUAUUUUAAAAUUUUAUUUAUUUAGACUUUUUUGAGACCAGGUCUUGCUAUGUAGUCCAGGCUGGCCACCCUUCUGCCUCAGCCUCCUGACCGCUGGGGAAGCACAGGCGCAGGCCACCACAUCUGGCCUUGGAGGGACCUUCUGAGGGUCUCUGAGCCAAACCAAUGGUUCAGUUCCCCACUGCCUCAAGCCCUAUUCUCAGCUUUUCACAAAAUGAAUUAAAAGCUGUAAAAGGUAACUGUUGGGGGCCAGGGAUUCAGCUCAGUGGUUCCACUGCCUGCCUCAUAAGUACAAGGUCCCGAGUUCGAUCCCCAGUACCAAAAAAAAAAAAGGAAAAAAGAAGGUGAUCUUCAUCAGGUUGCCAUCUGAUGUUUGUGUCCCCAGAUUCAUAUAUGGAAACUGGGUCUCCCCAGGGAGAAGGAACAGGAAGGGAUCAGGUCCUCAGGUCCAGGUGGAGCCUUGUGAUUGGGAUUAGCAUCCCUCAAAGACGCCCAGAGUGCACUACCGCCCUGCACCAGUGUUACCACCCCAGCCUGGGACUGCGAAGCCUGCGGAAACUGAGCGGCGGUCCCGUGACUCCUAAGCCACCGCCACAGGGACAGACAUCACCCAGUCUAUAACGUGAAACUCAACUCUCAAGAGCAGGGCAGGGGCGGGGGAGCUGUUCCCCCACCACGAACAACCAAGAAAAUACCACUGGGAGGAAAACUGGAAAAUCAGGCUCCUCACCGCAGGGUGGCUUCCACCUCUUUCAAACACCUCGGUCCCUUUUCUGUCACCCCAGAAAUGCCCUUCCAGCUGGGACCACACUCAAUUGGCUUCACAGCAGUGCUGCACACAGGCUCCACCGGGCCGUUAUGCUUUUACAGCACACAAAAACUGAAUCAAGCAGAGCAGCUUCAAACCAUCCUUACUUUCCAGACUUACUUUUCCAGAGUUGAUUUUUGGAAUCCGUGAGAGAAGUUGCAGAGAUAGCCCUAAGCACUCCCCUGUCCCUUGGCCCUCGAUACCAUCUUGCAUAACCAGGAAGCCGGCGAGGGCGGGCACAUCAUGAACCCAGAGCCAGGCCCGAUUUGGAUCCUGCCGGUGUUUACAUGCAGCUGUGGUUUGGGGUGGUUUUGUUGUCUAUGCAUAGUUCUGUCAGAUAUUCUCACACAGAUUGUGUAACCAGCAGCCACAGAGGAGCUCCCUGGGGUCACCACUCUGUAAUCACACCCUGGCCCGGUGCUGGCCUCGGGCCCCAUGGCUGAGGGUGCAUGGCUGCCACCUCUGCACCCUCGUCGCCGGUACAGUGUCUUGGAGCAGGACUCGCUGGGCACAGAGCUGUGUGAUUGGCUCAGCCUCAGCCGAGUCUGCUGAUGGCUGCUUCUUCUUCCCCACUCCCUCUGCUGAGGGACACAGGUGCCACUUCCAGCCGGGCCGUGAAACAGUGCUGCUGAGUGUCCAUGUUCACACGCUGCCAGGCUCCUCGGGAUAAACGCCCGGGGGCAGCCACGGGCCGCGCUCCAGAGCAGCCGGGUAUGCUCAGGGUCAGUGUGAGCCAGGCCUGCCAUACGCCCAGUGCCUGCGUCCAUCAGCUUACGGAGAAGAAAGGCUCGCAGUGGCUCAGUCCUGGGCCCCCGGCCCUGGUUUGCUGGCCUGUGCUCAAGGCCUAGGGGGACAGGCUGCAGGGAAUGCGCACAUUUUGAGGGAGAAGAGAAAAGGACAGCCGAGUCACCUUGGCCCAGCUUCUUCCUCCAGGCCCCACUCCUACAGUUCCAGGGCCGAGGACCCAGCCUUCAACACAAGGGCGUUUGGGGACCCAGGAGCCAGGCCAUAGUAGUGUCCGAGUUUGCUGCCCCCUGUAUUAAUAGGGCUGUGGGAGAUCUUGUCCCGACUAGAACCCAUGACCCUCGUUGCCAAUGACAUUGGACAUGGUUCCUCCUGGUUCUCCCCAUCCAUGCCUCCUCCUCCGUGAAGUGUACAGCCAUCUUUUGCCCAUUUUUGUUUGUUUCUUACUAUCCACUUGUUUUUGUUUUCGAGACAGGAUCUCUCUGUGUAACCCAGGCUGGCCUCAAACUCGAGAUGAUCCUUCUGCCUCAGCCUCCCUAGUGUUGAGAUGACAGCACCCGGCUCUACUCUUGACUUUAGAGUGUGCCAAUGUAUCCUAGACGCAAGUUCUUUGCCAGAUAUGCUUGCUGCCAAGCUGUGGCUUGUCUUCCCAUCCUCUUAGCAGGGAUUUUGCAGAACAUUUUUAAAUUAAAUGCGGU
This 4757-nucleotide long non-coding RNA is filed under the name Heterocephalus glaber (naked mole-rat). RNAcentral describes it as "lncRNA (ENSHGLG00000033282.1)". The record is from RNAcentral. Lineage: Eukaryota; Metazoa; Chordata; Mammalia; Rodentia; Bathyergidae.